CGAGCCUGAUGCAGCCAUGCCGCGUGUAUGAAGAAGGCCUUCGGGUUGUAAAGUACUUUCAGUUGUGAGGAAGGGGGUAGCGUUAAUAGCGCUAUCUCUUGACGUUAGCAACAGAAGAAGCACCGGCUAACUCCGUGCCAGCAGCCGCGGUAAUACGGAGGGUGCGAGCGUUAAUCGGAAUUACUGGGCGUAAAGCGCAUGCAGGUGGUUCAUUAAGUCAGAUGUGAAAGCCCGGGGCUCAACCUCGGAACUGCAUUUGAAACUGGUGAACUAGAGUACUGUAGAGGGGGGUAGAAUUUCAGGUGUAGCGGUGAAAUGCGUAGAGAUCUGAAGGAAUACCAGUGGCGAAGGCGGCCCCCUGGACAGAUACUGACACUCAGAUGCGAAAGCGUGGGGAGCAAACAGGAUUAGAUACCCUGGUAGUCCACGCCGUAAACGAUGUCUACUUGGAGGUUGUGGCCUUGAGCCGUGGCUUUCGGAGCUAACGCGUUAAGUAGACCGCCUGGGGAGUACGGUCGCAAGAUUAAAACUCA
This 533-nucleotide ribosomal RNA is filed under the name Vibrio crassostreae. RNAcentral describes it as "bacterial SSU rRNA". It matches the Rfam family "Bacterial small subunit ribosomal RNA", at positions 378 to 903 of the family's 1533-position model. Lineage: Bacteria; Pseudomonadati; Pseudomonadota; Gammaproteobacteria; Vibrionales; Vibrionaceae. The record is from RNAcentral.